CCAAUAGCGUAUAUUAAAGUUGCUGCAGUUAAAAAGCUCGUAGUUGAAUUUCGGGACCAAUAUGUCGGUCGUGCCUCGGUACGUACUGGCGUUAUUGGUUUCUCCCUUCUGACGAACCACGAUGUCAUUAAUUUGGUGUCAUGGGGAAUCAGGACUGUUACUUUGAAAAAAUUAGAGUGUUUAAAGCAGGCUCCCGCUUGAAUACAUUAGCAUGGAAUAAUGAAAUAGGACGUUUGAUUCCAUUUUGUUGGUUUCUAGGAUCGACGUAAUGAUUAAUAGGGAUAGUUGGGGGCAUUAGUAUUCAAUUGUCAGAGGUGAAAUUCUUGGAUUUAUUGAAGACUAACUACUGCGAAAGCAUUUGCCAAGGAUGUUUUCAUUAAUCAAGAACGAAAGUUAGGGGAUCGAAGACGAUCAGAUACCGUCGUAGUCUUAACCAUAAACUAUGCCGACUAGGGAUCGGAUGAUGUUAAUUUUUUAAUGACUCAUUCGGCGCCUUACG
RNAcentral lists this ribosomal RNA (499 nucleotides) under uncultured Glomeromycotina. RNAcentral's name for it is "partial small subunit ribosomal RNA". It matches the Rfam family "Eukaryotic small subunit ribosomal RNA", at positions 591 to 1092 of the family's 1831-position model. Lineage: Eukaryota; Fungi; Glomeromycota. The record is from RNAcentral.